This is a long non-coding RNA of Centruroides sculpturatus (bark scorpion), 357 nucleotides long. RefSeq lists it as uncharacterized. The record is from RefSeq and is a predicted model, not a curated record. Lineage: Eukaryota; Metazoa; Arthropoda; Arachnida; Scorpiones; Buthidae. The transcript is spliced from 3 exons.
AGUGUAUAUUCGAAUUAUUGCGCUGAACGAGAAGCUGUUACCCGAAAACUAUAAAGUUCGAGUUCAGAUAAAGAAUCCUCAAAAUAUUAUUGUUCAAGAAACCCUUCUCACAGACCCAUGGAAGCAAUCCUCUGGCCAAUUUCCUAAAAUUAAUUUUACUCUUUCUUCAUUUCCCAUAUUAGGAGAAUGGAAAAUAGAGGCCUCAUACAGAAGUCAGAAAAAAACGUCUGUGUCAUUUAAUGUAGAAGAAUACAGUAAGAGAAAUUAAUAGUUAGAUUAUACAAAAUGACUCAAAAGUUAGUUUACCUUAUAGAAAUACUACCUUACAAACCAACCAUUUAUGAGCGAAUAAAAUUA